CCAAUAGCGUAUAUUAAAGUUGUUGCAGUUAAAAAGCUCGUAGUUGAAUUUUAGGCCUGGCCGGACGGUCCGUCUCUGGCGAGUACUGUUCUGUCGUCGGGUCUAUCCUUCUGGUGAGCCGGUAUGUUCUUAAUUGGGCGUGUCGGGGAACCAGGACCAUUACCUUGAAAAAAUUAGAGUGUUUAAAGCAGGCUUUUGCUUGAAUAGAUUAGCAUGGAAUAAUAGAAUAGGACGUUGUGGUUCUAUUUUGUUGGUUCUAGGACCACCGUAAUGAUUAAUAGGGAUAGUUUGGGGCAUUAGUAUUCAAUUGUCAGAGGUGAAAUUCUUGGAUUUAUUGAAGACUAACUACUGCGAAAGCAUUUGCCAAGGAUGUUUUCAUUAAUCAAGAACGAAAGUUAGGGGAUCGAAGACGAUCAGAUACCGUCGUAGUCUUAACCAUAAACUAUGCCGACUAGGAAUCGGGCGACGUUAUUUUCACGACUCGCUCGGCGCCUUAUG
This 498-nucleotide ribosomal RNA is filed under the name uncultured Glomeromycotina. RNAcentral describes it as "partial small subunit ribosomal RNA". It matches the Rfam family "Eukaryotic small subunit ribosomal RNA", at positions 591 to 1092 of the family's 1831-position model. The record is from RNAcentral. Lineage: Eukaryota; Fungi; Glomeromycota.